UCGCUGUUUGCGAUAUACGGCAAGCGGCCAAGCGAAAGCGUUAAGUAUUCCACCUGGGGAGUACGCCGGCAACGGUGAAACUCAAAGGAAUUGACGGGGGCCCGCACAAGCGGAGGAACAUGUGGUUUAAUUCGAUGAUACGCGAGGAACCUUACCCGGGCUUAAAUUGCAGAUGAAUUACGGUGAAAGCCGUAAGCCGCAAGGCAUCUGUGAAGGUGCUGCAUGGUUGUCGUCAGCUCGUGCCGUGAGGUGUCGGCUUAAGUGCCAUAACGAGCGCAACCCUUGUUGUCAGUUACUAACAGGUUCCGCUGAGGACUCUGACAAGACUGCCAUCGUAAGAUGUGAGGAAGGUGGGGAUGACGUCAAAUCAGCACGGCCCUUACGUCCGGGGCUACACACGUGUUACAAUGGGGGGUACAGAGGGCCGCUACCACGCGAGUGGAUGCCAAUCCCCAAAACCUCUCUCAGUUCGGACUGGAGUCUGCAACCCGACUCCACGAAGCUGGAUUCGCUAGUAAUCGCGCAUCAGCCACGGCGCGGUGAAUACGUUCCCGGGCCUUGUACUCACCGCCCGUC
This 576-nucleotide ribosomal RNA is filed under the name uncultured bacterium. RNAcentral's name for it is "bacterial SSU rRNA". It matches the Rfam family "Bacterial small subunit ribosomal RNA", at positions 817 to 1398 of the family's 1533-position model. The record is from RNAcentral.